RNAcentral lists this unclassified non-coding RNA (273 nucleotides) under Glomus sp. RNAcentral's name for it is "partial internal transcribed spacer 2". The record is from RNAcentral. Lineage: Eukaryota; Fungi; Glomeromycota; Glomeromycetes; Glomerales; Glomeraceae.
GUGAAUCAUCGAAUCUUUGAACGCAAAUUGCACUCCCUUGGGUGAGUAUGACUGUUUCAGGUUCAGCGUCAAUAAAAUCGACAUAGUCGCUGUUUCGCGGUGACAUUCGUCGGCAAUUGGGUCAUCUUACACCUUUGGGUUUUAAGCGGCUUACAAUUUUAUUUCCGAUUCCACGACCGUUUCUAAGCUUUACUUAUUAUAAGUUUAAGGUAUCGAUCUUUAUUAGACGUGUCAGUUGCUUCGGUGCUUGUCCACAAAUAUUUCGUUAACUUA